Oncorhynchus tshawytscha (Chinook salmon) is the source of this 305-nucleotide long non-coding RNA. The record is from Ensembl. Lineage: Eukaryota; Metazoa; Chordata; Actinopteri; Salmoniformes; Salmonidae.
UGGGUUAGAAUGAGGGUUAGAUUGAGGGUUAGGGUUAGAAUGAGGGUUAGGUUCAGGGUUAUGGGUUAGAAUGAGGGUUAGGUUCAGGGUUAUGGGUUAGAAUGAGGAUUAGGUUCACGGUGCAGGGUUAGAAUGAGGGUUAGGUUCGGCGUUAUGGGUUAGAUUGAGGGUUAUGGGAUAGAAUUAGGGUUAGGUUCAGGGUUAUGGGUUAGAUUGAGGGUUAGAUUGAUGGUUAGAAUUAGAAUGAGGGUUAGAUUGAGGGUUAGGGUUAGAUUGAGGGUUAUGGGUUAGAAUGAGGGUUAGAU